RNAcentral lists this ribosomal RNA (283 nucleotides) under uncultured Bacillus sp. Its description in RNAcentral is "partial 16S ribosomal RNA". It matches the Rfam family "Bacterial small subunit ribosomal RNA", at positions 355 to 629 of the family's 1533-position model. Lineage: Bacteria; Bacillati; Bacillota; Bacilli; Caryophanales; Bacillaceae. The record is from RNAcentral.
UAGGGAAUCUUCCGCAAUGGACGAAAGUCUGACGGAGCAACGCCGCGUGAGUGAUGAAGGCUUUCGGGUCGUAAAACUCUGUUGUUAGGGAAGAACAAGUGCUAGUUGAAUAAGCUGGCACCUUGACGGUACCUAACCAGAAAGCCACGGCUAACUACGUGCCAGCAGCCGCGGUAAUACGUAGGUGGCAAGCGUUAUCCGGAAUUAUUGGGCGUAAAGCGCGCGCAGGUGGUUUCUUAAGUCUGAUGUGAAAGCCCACGGCUCAACCGUGGAGGGUCAUUGG